UCUAGAAUAUGAACAAAAUAUUCAUGAACUGAAAUAUUUUCACAAAUUCUACUCGUCCGACAACGAUUUUGACUCUUCUCCUCUGAAAAAUAUCAGGAUAAAAUUUAAUGAGUUUCACAAACUCAAUAAGUAUUUUCGUUCUUUCAAACCCAGAUUAGACAUCAUGCAAAAUACACACCAUGUGGCAUAUACAGUGGUAAUAUUUUCAACACAAAAUUUAUUUAUAAUUUUGACCAUUUUCUAAACUUGAAUUUACUUAUUAAACACAAUUAUUUCGGACCUUCUGAUUUCACUUGUUUCUGAUCAGAUUUCUUAAUUACACUUUAGUAUCAUUUAUAGCAUCAAAGUAUCAUCACAUACACUCGAAAGAAAAUAUAUAUACUCAAAAAGUCAUCUAUAGGAUUUUAUCGCGCGAUGCUAUUUAUGUCAUCGUUGAGGAGAGACAAAAUGGAU
Molecule: long non-coding RNA, 453 nt
Filed under: Carica papaya (papaya)
Lineage: Eukaryota; Viridiplantae; Streptophyta; Magnoliopsida; Brassicales; Caricaceae
Description: long non-coding RNA (CPAP_LNC014175)
Source: RNAcentral